Molecule: ribosomal RNA, 732 nt
Filed under: Salmonella enterica subsp. enterica serovar Infantis
Lineage: Bacteria; Pseudomonadati; Pseudomonadota; Gammaproteobacteria; Enterobacterales; Enterobacteriaceae
Also listed under: 4 other names
Description: partial 23S ribosomal RNA
Rfam family: Bacterial large subunit ribosomal RNA
Source: RNAcentral
CGCGGCAAGACGGAAAGACCCCGUGAACCUUUACUAUAGCUUGACACUGAACAUUGAGCCUUGAUGUGUAGGAUAGGUGGGAGGCUUUGAAGUGUGGACGCCAGUCUGCAUGGAGCCGACCUUGAAAUACCACCCUUUAAUGUUUGAUGUUCUAACGUGGACCCGUGAUCCGGGUUGCGGACAGUGUCUGGUGGGUAGUUUGACUGGGGCGGUCUCCUCCUAAAGAGUAACGGAGGAGCACGAAGGUUGGCUAAUCCUGGUCGGACAUCAGGAGGUUAGUGCAAUGGCAUAAGCCAGCUUGACUGCGAGCGUGACGGCGCGAGCAGGUGCGAAAGCAGGUCAUAGUGAUCCGGUGGUUCUGAAUGGAAGGGCCAUCGCUCAACGGAUAAAAGGUACUCCGGGGAUAACAGGCUGAUACCGCCCAAGAGUUCAUAUCGACGGCGGUGUUUGGCACCUCGAUGUCGGCUCAUCACAUCCUGGGGCUGAAGUAGGUCCCAAGGGUAUGGCUGUUCGCCAUUUAAAGUGGUACGCGAGCUGGGUUUAGAACGUCGUGAGACAGUUCGGUCCCUAUCUGCCGUGGGCGCUGGAGAACUGAGGGGGGCUGCUCCUAGUACGAGAGGACCGGAGUGGACGCAUCACUGGUGUUCGGGUUGUCAUGCCAAUGGCACUGCCCGGUAGCUAAAUGCGGAAGAGAUAAGUGCUGAAAGCAUCUAAGCACGAAACUUGCCCCGA